This 267-nucleotide unclassified non-coding RNA is filed under the name Hevea brasiliensis (rubber tree). The record is from RNAcentral. Lineage: Eukaryota; Viridiplantae; Streptophyta; Magnoliopsida; Malpighiales; Euphorbiaceae.
AAUUAUGCACAUUUGUUGCCAUGACUUAUCAGAGGGAGAUUUGGCUGGAAAAGCAUUAACGGGCCAUUAAGCUCUAAAAUAGAAAGAGUAGGAGGUUCAGCACACUCAGAGGAAAAGGUGGAAAAUCUGAUGUGCCAGAGGCAGAGGAUGUCAGUGAAGUCUGCUUCAUUUUAUUUAUGGCGAGCAUUUUGUUAUUUCCUCUGACUGUAGCUUGUGAGAAUUUUGGGUUAAUUUGCGCUGCUUUUUUAUUAGAUCUCCGAGUUUGAA